UACAGAGGGUGCAAACGUUGUUCGGAAUUACUGGGCGUAAAGCGCGUGUAGGCGGCUUGGCAGGUCGGAUGUGAAAUCCCAGGACUCAACCCUGGAAGGGCAUUCGAAACCGCUUCGCUAGAGUUCUGGAGAGGAAGGUGGAAUGCUUGGUGUAGAGGUGAAAUUCGUAGAUAUCAAGCGGAACACCGGUGGCGAAGGCGGCCUUCUGGACAGAAACUCACGCUGAGACGCGAAAGCGUGGGGAGCAAACAGG
This 253-nucleotide ribosomal RNA is filed under the name uncultured bacterium. Its description in RNAcentral is "partial 16S ribosomal RNA". It matches the Rfam family "Bacterial small subunit ribosomal RNA", at positions 524 to 776 of the family's 1533-position model. The record is from RNAcentral.